GGGCCUUAGCUCAUGGAUAGAGCAUCUGUUUUGCCUCCAGAAGGUCCCAGAUUCAAUCCCUGGCAUCUCCA
Non-coding RNA from Podarcis lilfordi (Lilford's wall lizard), 71 nucleotides. The record is from the annotation of a GenBank genome assembly. Lineage: Eukaryota; Metazoa; Chordata; Lepidosauria; Squamata; Lacertidae.